CCCUUAGAUGUUCUGGGCUGCACGCGCGCUACACUGAAGCGUUCAACGACUAUUCACCUUGCCCGGGAGGGUUGGGUAAUCUUUUGAAAACGCUUCGUGAUGGGGAUAGAUUAUUGCAAUUAUUAAUCUUCAACGAGGAAUUCCUAGUAAGCGCAAAUCAUCAAUUUGCAUUGAUUACGUCCCUGCCCUUUGUGCACACCGCCCGUCGCACCUACCGAUUGAAUGGUCCGGUGAAGCCUCGGGAUUGUGGCCAGUUCACUUUAUUGGGAGUUGGCUGUGAGAACUUGUCUAAACCUUAUCAUUUAGAGGAAGGUGAAGUCGUAACA
Molecule: ribosomal RNA, 326 nt
Filed under: uncultured eukaryote
Lineage: Eukaryota
Description: partial 18S ribosomal RNA
Rfam family: Eukaryotic small subunit ribosomal RNA
Source: RNAcentral